GGAGCCGUAGCGAAAGCGAGUUUUAACUGAGCGUUCAGUUACUUGACGUAGACCCGAAACCGGGCGACCUACCCAUGAGCAGGAUGAAGCGAAAGUAAAAUUUCGUGGAGGUCCGAACCCACGAGCGUUGAAAAGCUCGGGGAUGACUUGUGGGUAGCGGUGAAAUUCCAAUCGAGCCCGGAGAUAGCUGGUUCUCCCCGAAAUAGCUUUAGGGCUAGCCUCAAGGUGAGAGAUACGGAGGUAGAGCACUGAAUGUCCUAGGGGGUAUUGCACCUACCGAAGACUAUCAAACUCCGAAUGCCGUCAUCUUAUACUUGGGAGUCAGACUGUGGGUGAUAAGAUUCAUAGUCGAAAGGGCAACAGCCCAGAUCGUCAGCUAAGGUCCCUAAAUGUAAGUUAAGUGGUAAAGGAUGUGGGAUUGCACAGACAACCAGGAUGUUGGCUUAGAAGCAGCCACUCAUUCAAAGAGUGCGUAAUAGCUCACUGGUCGAGUGAUCCUGCGCCGAAGAUUUCCGGGGCUAAAACUUACUACCGAAGCUACGGCCUCAGUAAUGAUGGGUAGGGGAGCUUCCCAUACGGGUUGAAGCAUGACCGUAAGGACAUGUGGACAGUAUGGGAGUGAGAAUGUUGGCAGGAGUAGCGAGAUGUGGGUGAGAAUCCCACAGGCCGUAAACCCAAGGUUGCCAGGGGAAGGUUCGUCCGCCCUGGGUUAGUCGGGACCUAAGCUGAGGCCGAAAGGCGUAGGUGAUGGACAACAGGUUGAUAUUCCUGUACUACCGAUAACCGUUUGAGAGAAGGGAUGACACAGUA
Molecule: ribosomal RNA, 810 nt
Filed under: Clostridioides difficile
Lineage: Bacteria; Bacillati; Bacillota; Clostridia; Peptostreptococcales; Peptostreptococcaceae
Description: bacterial LSU rRNA
Rfam family: Bacterial large subunit ribosomal RNA
Source: RNAcentral